GGAGGAAAGUAGGGGAUCGCAAGACCUUGCGCUCUUGGAGCGGCCGAUGUCUGAUUAGCUAGUUGGUGAGGUAAAGGCUUACCAAGGCGACGAUCAGUAGCUGGUCUGAGAGGACGACCAGCCACACUGGGACUGAGACACGGCCCAGACUCCUACGGGAGGCAGCAGUGGGGAAUUUUGGACAAUGGGGGAAACCCUGAUCCAGCCAUGCCGCGUGAGUGAAGAAGGCCUUCGGGUUGUAAAGCUCUUUCAGCCGGAACGAAACGGUCACGGCUAAUACCUGUGACUACUGACGGUACCGGAAGAAGAAGCACCGGCUAACUACGUGCCAGCAGCCGCGGUAAUACGUAGGGUGCAAGCGUUAAUCGGAAUUACUGGGCGUAAAGCGUGCGCAGGCGGUUUUGUAAGUCAGAUGUGAAAUCUCCGGGCUUAACCUGGGAACUGCGUUUGAAACUACAAAGGCUAG
This 466-nucleotide ribosomal RNA is filed under the name uncultured beta proteobacterium. RNAcentral's name for it is "bacterial SSU rRNA". It matches the Rfam family "Bacterial small subunit ribosomal RNA", at positions 198 to 644 of the family's 1533-position model. The record is from RNAcentral. Lineage: Bacteria; Pseudomonadati; Pseudomonadota; Betaproteobacteria.